AACGAACGCUGGCGGCAUGCCUAACACAUGCAAGUCGAACGACACCUCCGGGUCUAGUGGCGCACGGGUGCGUAACGCGUGGGAACCUGCACUUAGGCUCGGAAUAAUUCUCCGACAGGGGUGCUAACACCGGAUAAUUUCCUCGGACAAAAGAUUGAUCGUCCUUGGAUGGGCACGCGUUGGAUUAGCUAGUUGGUAGGGUAAAAGCCUACCAAGGCGACGCUACAUAGCUGGUCUGAGAGGAUGCUCAGCCACACUGGGGGGAGGACACGGCCGGGAAUCCUACGGGAGGCAGCAGUGGGGGAUAUUGGACAAUGGGCUGAAUCCUGAACCAGCAAUGCCGCGUGAGUGAUGAAGGCCUUAGAGUUGUAAAGCUCUUUUACCCGGGAUGAUAAUGACAGUACCGGGAGAAUAAGCUCCGGCUAACUCCGUG
This 433-nucleotide ribosomal RNA is filed under the name uncultured bacterium. Its description in RNAcentral is "partial 16S ribosomal RNA". It matches the Rfam family "Bacterial small subunit ribosomal RNA", at positions 29 to 507 of the family's 1533-position model. The record is from RNAcentral.